Molecule: ribosomal RNA, 406 nt
Filed under: uncultured bacterium
Lineage: Bacteria
Description: partial 16S ribosomal RNA
Rfam family: Bacterial small subunit ribosomal RNA
Source: RNAcentral
AUUGAACGCUGGCGGCAGGCCUAACACAUGCAAGUCGAACGAGUGGCGGACGGGUGAGUAAUGUCUGGGAAACUGCCUGAUGGAGGGGGAUAACUACUGGAAACGGUAGCUAAUACCGCAUACCCUCAGAUGUGCCCAGAUGGGAUUAGCUUUUUGUUGGGGUCACGGCUCACCAAGGCGACGAUCCCUAGCUGGUCUGAGAGGAUGACCAGCCCCCUUGGAACGGAGACACGGUCCGGACUCCGCCGGGAGGCAGCAUUGGGGAAUAUGGGACAAUGGGCGCAAGCCUGAUGCAGCCAUGCCGCGUGUAUGAAGAAGGCCUUCGGGUUGUAAAGUACUUUCAGCGGGGAGGCGUUACCCGCAGAAGAAGCACCGGCUAACUCCGUGCCAGCAGCCGCGGUAAUAC